CUUAACACAAGACUUGCACACACAAAGUUCGAUGUGAUACGUAGCAGACAAAGUGGCUUAAACCCGCGUGUUUUGUGUGUGGUACCAGCACGUGUUCUGGUUCUUGCAAAAACGAUUUGAAAUCAUAACUUAUCAAAUGGCGCAUUGCUAAGGCACAGGAAAGGAGAGUACAGAUAGUUCCAGUGUGUAUCACCAGAAGGUGUGUUACUAUGGUCGGAAAAUGGGAGUACUAAACUUUAGGACGAUGAGGUCAUCGAUCGCGCAUAUGAUUCGCGAGUGAUUCACCAGUGAGUGUUGUAGAUCAACGUGUCUCAACAGCACAAAUCUACACAAUGGGGUAUCUGCGCUCUG
Limulus polyphemus (Atlantic horseshoe crab) is the source of this 351-nucleotide long non-coding RNA. RefSeq lists it as uncharacterized. The transcript is spliced from 3 exons. The record is from RefSeq and is a predicted model, not a curated record. Lineage: Eukaryota; Metazoa; Arthropoda; Merostomata; Xiphosura; Limulidae.